RNAcentral lists this ribosomal RNA (496 nucleotides) under uncultured bacterium. Its description in RNAcentral is "partial 16S ribosomal RNA". It matches the Rfam family "Bacterial small subunit ribosomal RNA", at positions 28 to 506 of the family's 1533-position model. The record is from RNAcentral.
GAUGAACGCUGGCGGCGUGCCUAAUACAUGCAAGUCGAGCGAACGGACGAGAAGCUUGCUUCUCUGAUGUUAGCGGCGGACGGGUGAGUAACACGUGGAUAACCUACCUAUAAGACUGGGAUAACUUCGGGAAACCGGAGCUAAUACCGGAUAAUAUUUUGAACCGCAUGGUUCAAAAGUGAAAGACGGUCUUGCUGUCACUUAUAGAUGGAUCCGCGCUGCAUUAGCUAGUUGGUAAGGUAACGGCUUACCAAGGCAACGAUGCAUAGCCGACCUGAGAGGGUGAUCGGCCACACUGGAACUGAGACACGGUCCAGACUCCUACGGGAGGCAGCAGUAGGGAAUCUUCCGCAGUGGGCGAAAGCCUGACGGAGCAACGCCGCGUGAGUGAUGAAGGUCUGCGGAUCGUAAAACUCUGUUAUUAGGGAAGAACAUAUGUGUAAGUAACUGUGCACAUCUUGACGGUACCUAAUCAGAAAGCCACGGCUAACUACGU